RNAcentral lists this long non-coding RNA (609 nucleotides) under Citrus maxima (pomelo). RNAcentral's name for it is "long non-coding RNA (CMAX_LNC000376)". Lineage: Eukaryota; Viridiplantae; Streptophyta; Magnoliopsida; Sapindales; Rutaceae. The record is from RNAcentral.
CAACUUUGAAUAAUAACAACUUGACCUUUAGAACAAUUAAAGACUUGAGGAAAAAGUAGGAGGGGAGAGGGAAGAAAUAUUUAACAAAUAAAGAAGUGAAAAGUGACAAACUACCAAUUAAAUCCAUCUCCCCAUGUUUCUCCAGCAAGAAUUUACUAAGUAUCACUAGGAGAUAAAGAGUUGCAAACAAAAGAAUCUUUUUGAAUUCUACACACUGGGAAUGAAAUGAAUCUACCAGAUAGUGGGCUCAUAUUGAAAUAUUUUAUCUCAACUUUAGAUGACAUUUAAUUUGAUUAUUUGAUAUUUUUUAAGGAUUCUUCCCAAGCAAGUGUCAGCAUCAGGAGACCAUCAAAUUGUAUUAGCAAUCCCGAUCAAUGGAACAGAAAUAUCAUAGUGAACUCACUCAAACAAAGGUAUGCAUUCAGUUGUAGUGAAACAGUUUAUGCAUUGCUUGUAGUGAAACAGUUUAUGCAUUGCUAAAUUUUACCGGCUGCUUUAGAAUUUUUAUAAAUAUUAAAAUCAACUAAAGGACAACAGUCUGUGGACAUACAUCGACUGUAGCAACUUUCUCAGGGAUUAAGCGAUCAUUUCUAUCACCUAAACCCAAAU